CAAUGGAAGCAAACACAGUAGGGCAAACCAAUUUCAGAUUUUUAUCUGAAAUCAAAAGCCUAGAAAAGGUGAAUCUGCCGAAUAGUUCGGGCCGAAUCCUGAGGAAAGUUCAAAGCGCUGUUUGACGAGCCUACGUAGUAUUAGUUAGUUGGCCAGGUAAAGGCUGACAAGCCAAUGAUGCUUAGCUAGUCUUUUUGAAUGAUUAGCCACACUGGGACUGAGACAUGGCCCAGACUCCCAUGGGAGGCAGCAGAGGGAAUCUUGGACAAUGGGCGAAAGCCCGAUCCAGCAAUAUCGCGUGAGUGAAGAAGGUCAAUGCUCCUUGUAAAGCUCUUACGUUGAGUGCGUGAUCAUGACAUAUCUCGAGGAAGAAGUAACUCCAUGCCAGUAGCCGCGCUAAGACGGGGGGG
RNAcentral lists this non-coding RNA (410 nucleotides) under Triticum aestivum (bread wheat). RNAcentral describes it as "Bacterial small subunit ribosomal RNA". It matches the Rfam family "Bacterial small subunit ribosomal RNA", at positions 131 to 533 of the family's 1533-position model. The record is from Rfam by way of RNAcentral. Lineage: Eukaryota; Viridiplantae; Streptophyta; Magnoliopsida; Poales; Poaceae.